AGUGGAAACGACCAUUAAUCUAUGACCUGCACACUUCGCCAUGUUUCAACUUCAUAUUGGACUGCUUGUUUUGCGCGCACUAU
Long non-coding RNA from Maniola jurtina (meadow brown), 83 nucleotides. RefSeq lists it as uncharacterized. Lineage: Eukaryota; Metazoa; Arthropoda; Insecta; Lepidoptera; Nymphalidae. The record is from RefSeq and is a predicted model, not a curated record. The transcript is spliced from 3 exons.